GCCUUCCUCGUGGUAUCGUCCAAACUGUUGCGCAUAUUAUUCACCGAAGGGGAGUUACCCUCGAACGUAUAUCGAUUCCCAUGGGGCUGAACUCAGUGCGCAAGGCUCGAAAUUCCCACCCUCGUGAGGAAAAUGUUGGUUAUUGAUGGAGCAUGAGGAAACGAGAAGUUCAAUCAUUUUUCAAUUAAGCUGUCAAUAAUUUGGAGAAGGAACUUUUUGUGUAAGACAACUGAAGAAUGGUCUUCGUACGAGGUUAAAUUUAAAGAGCGAUCAAGCGAUCUCGAAGAAUACGGUUGAUCAACAAAGGGAGCGCCGUCGAUGCUUCGCUGUCGGUGGCGUCGGCAUUUAUAAAAGUAAUAAAACAAUCGAACAACGACUCUACGAAGUGAGUGCGAUCAGAGUGAGACGGAGGAGUAAGAGUAAGAGGAGACGAUAAAAAAUAACAAGUUUCAGAAAGGACACGAAAGAAAGAAAAAGAGCGAGAGAGAGAGAGAGAGAGAGAGAGGGAGAAGGAGAAAGCUCAAGAGUUCGCGAUCGGAGGUGAAAAUAUUGAGAGAAGCCAUGGGCGGGAGCAAAGGAACGUGAAAAAGAGAUAAAAAACCUCGCGGAUAAGAAAAUAAUAAUAAAAAAAUGGAGAGAAAAUAAAAAGGGAUAGGAAUGAAACACACGAGAACAGCGACCCGACCCGACCGACCGGUAGCUCAGCCAAGCGGACCACGUGUAUAUAUCUUGCUCCGAUUCACCACGCACACUGUGCCCGAUUCCUCCUCGUGGUUCUCAAAGACAAACAACACCCUUUUCGCUUCCUUUCGACUUCGACUCGAGCCUUUGUUUUCAUUGAACUUGAAAAUUGAGCUUUUAAUCACACUUUAUAAAAUUGUCUGCAACUAUUGGGUUUUCGCACUAAAAGUCAAAGUAUUGAUAGUCAUGAUUGGAACAUGGAGAUCCUGAAAUUUUAUCCAAAAUUAACAAAAAGCGUAAAUACCAAUUUUUUUCGUGCACUUUUAUCGAUCGGAAAAAAACGAAAUCAAUUCUUUUAGUACUUUAGUAUUUUCUUUUUUCGUCAUGCCUGGGCCUCUCAAAAUCCAAAUUUCUAUCAAGUUUUCUUUUCGUGGUUUUAAUCGAUAAUUAAGCUUCUUUUUCUAUGAAAACGGAAACGCGUUUGCCACAAAAGUUUUAAUUUUCUCGUCGAUCUAAUCCGACUAUUGCUAGAUUUCUAUUAAUAACUCUAUCGAAGGACACAAAAUUGAAAGUUUCAUUAAUAAUUAUAAUUCGAUGAAGUCAUAAUGAGCUGUGAAUCUGAACGAUAAUGUUUCGAAGGUGAUGGUGAAUUCGUAAGAAAAUGGUCGACAGGUUGAGAGCCAGGGUAUGUAGAGCAGAUGCUCGGGCAUGGCGAGUGCUAUAGCGGGGGGUGCGUGAUUUUUCAUCGCCGACAGCCUCCUCCUUUCGAGACCCCGGAGCAUUCCACCUUCAGCUCUGCAUACUGCAUUUGCCGCCUUCUCUUUCUUCCUAUCUCUUCUUCGACCUCUCGUCUUUCAUUCUUACUUCGUAUUCAUUUGGUCGUCGUGUACUUAAAAUUACUUUUACGAUGUAUAGACUUUAAUCUUUUUUUCAGUCAGUUUUUCAGAUUUUUUUCUCUCCAUCUUAUUCACGACACACAUGCAACGCUACAGAGCUGCGGUCAACUUUCAUGCUUCGAUGACGAAAAAUGUGCUGAAUUCUUCAAUUACGCGACCACGGACGUUCUCCGCGCGAAAACUCCAGUCCGCUGUUUCGGCUUGGCUCUUGCACCGAAAACAAAAUUCGGUAGCAGGACAAAAUUUUCCAAGUGAAAAUGAAAAUUUCAACUGAAACAAUGAGCUCCGAUAUGCACUCAAAGUACAUGCGAUGUGACAAAUCAGAAGCUCGGAGUUAAUGAGAGGAUGUAAGGAGCACUUGGCAACUCUGCGAAGAGAAUACUUCGCGAAGAUUACAUCCUCUAGCUCAUACGAAAUUCACCUCAGCGCCUCCAUUCGCGGGGAAAUGAUUCGUGAGAAAAACCAUCCGCUCUCAUCGUUCUCGCCACGAUGGACAUCGACGUGCGAACAAAGAUCGAUUUAGCCUCGCAUUCAAAGUGAUUGGACCACAUCAAACUCAAGUUUUUCUGUUCACCAUAAAUUUUGGACACAGUUUAUUAUUCAUCGUCAUGGAAAAGAGUUUCUUUGAGUUUUCACACGCCUCACGAUUCCCUCACUCGGAUCGCUCGAUGCCAUUACAUCAAUGCAUUUUCCGCAAUGGAAAGAUUUCCAUCGGAAUUUAAACUCCGAAAUAUUGAUGUAGCAACGUCGAUUGUUGGUGUAAUCGACGACUAGCUGGUAAACGAUUGGUCUCAACAAUGAGCGAGUGCAUAAUGCUCAAGGGAUAAUGUUGUUAGCUAAUUAGUGAGCAUUACAGUUGAUCGAACGUCACAAAGCAAAGCGCAUACAAGCUGCGCGCAAAACACAUGCACAAUGACAUUAUUUCCAACGCAAUUCCCACACGGACAAUACACAUUCUCUUUCGUUUGUCUAAUGUUCCAUCUAACGACGCGGAAGUUUUUAAUUCACGGCCCUGGCAAAUGACACUGCGAGAUUAACUGUUACACGAGAAUUAGAUACAAUCUGUUCUGCAUAUCGGAUUGACGCUCGUUCGCUCCUUUUACAAAACAGACUAUCGCUCCAACGUUUACAUCUUGAUGUAUGUGUAUAGCGAUUGUGUAUCGAUAUCCACGAGAAAACAACGUUCAAACGUAUCGCGGUAUCACGACUCGUUCCUUCUUUCACUCCUCUCCUUUUUUCUCCAAUUUCUUUUCUCUUUUUUUCGAUCAACAGAUAAUUACUCGUUAUUGUGCUAGUUGCAACGCGAAAGCGCUGAUAAGGGGUGCGUUAAUAGAGCCAUUCGCGUUCUGAACUACACAAAAGGGUGGAGAGACCUCGAAAAGCCUUUGAAAUUGUACUGCGACAGCAGUGCAUCGAUAUUCUCUUUCUUUCUUCCUCUUUUUCAU
Molecule: long non-coding RNA, 3022 nt
Filed under: Venturia canescens
Lineage: Eukaryota; Metazoa; Arthropoda; Insecta; Hymenoptera; Ichneumonidae
Description: uncharacterized LOC122408405, transcript variant X1
Source: RNAcentral